AGAUUCCCAGACAAGAUCUCCAUCAUCUUCAGUUCUUGAGUCUCAAGCAUCAAUGAAAGCUGAGUUGCCAACAAUAAAAUGUGGUGUUACAGAUGUGGAAACUCAGACAGAAUGGAGUUACUCAGACAUGAGCUCAGAAGAAAAAAGGAGAAGGAUACUGGAGGAGGCAAGCAGGAGUGUCAAGGACAGC
This is a long non-coding RNA of Lacerta agilis (Sand lizard), 190 nucleotides long. RefSeq lists it as uncharacterized. The record is from RefSeq and is a predicted model, not a curated record. NCBI's taxonomy places the organism in Eukaryota, Metazoa, Chordata, Lepidosauria, Squamata, Lacertidae. The transcript has 3 exons.